GCUUGCGUAGCUCAAUGGUAGAGCACCACGCUAUAAUGAGCUUUGUAGAUAAUAUAAUGCGGAGACCUGAGUUCGAUCCUCAGCGCUAGCG
This is a non-coding RNA of Mycena epipterygia, 91 nucleotides long. The record is from the annotation of a GenBank genome assembly. NCBI's taxonomy places the organism in Eukaryota, Fungi, Basidiomycota, Agaricomycetes, Agaricales, Mycenaceae.